Molecule: ribosomal RNA, 409 nt
Filed under: uncultured prokaryote
Description: bacterial SSU rRNA
Rfam family: Bacterial small subunit ribosomal RNA
Source: RNAcentral
UGGGGAAUAUUGCACAAUGGGCGCAAGCCUGAUGCAGCGACGCCGCGUGGGGGAUGAAGGCCUUCGGGUUGUAAACCCCUUUCAGCAGGGAAGAAGCGAAAGUGACGGUACCUGCAGAAGAAGCGCCGGCUAACUACGUGCCAGCAGCCGCGGUAAUACGUAGGGCGCAAGCGUUGUCCGGAAUUACUGGGCGUAAAGGGCGCGUAGGCGGCUUUUUAAGUUAGAUGUGAAAACCCGGGGCUUAACUUCGGACGUGCAUUUAAAACUGGAGAGCUUGAGUGCAGGAGAGGUAAGUGGAAUUCCUAGUGUAGCGGUGAAAUGCGUAGAUAUUAGGAGGAACACCAGUGGCGAAGGCGACUUACUGGACUGUAACUGACGCUGAGGCGCGAAAGCGUGGGGAGCAAACAGG